GGUGGUGGUAGUACAGUUAAUAAUGUACAUCAGACUUCUGAGCAGAAGGUCGUGAGUUCAAAUCCCAGCACCACCA
Molecule: non-coding RNA, 76 nt
Organism: Ameiurus melas (black bullhead)
Lineage: Eukaryota; Metazoa; Chordata; Actinopteri; Siluriformes; Ictaluridae
Source: the annotation of a GenBank genome assembly